Molecule: long non-coding RNA, 1473 nt
Organism: Triticum aestivum (bread wheat)
Lineage: Eukaryota; Viridiplantae; Streptophyta; Magnoliopsida; Poales; Poaceae
Exons: 5
Source: RefSeq, a predicted model, not a curated record
GUGAGUAUGCUGGGACAGGCCCUUUGCAGGGGCGCUUACUGAACGGUUUCAAGCGUGAUUGCAAGCGAUGCGUCGUCGUAUUGCUUGCUAGGAGCGAUACAUAGUAGUUACCGGCCUGCUGGGCUCACCCCAGGAAGAAGGCCUAAGGUUACAAUAAGCAGUAAGAAGCUGGACCACGUGUUCAAGGCCCAGAGUGUUCAAGGCCUAGGAGAUCUUGGUUUGUAGUACGAUGUGCAUUGCUAAUUUUCGCUCUUUUGUGUGCAUGCCAUGGGAAAAUAAUCUGGUGGACAAUUAAUCUGGUAUUGUAUAAAAACGUGGUUUAAAAAGACGCGGAUCUUUUCUAAUAAAUGAGUAUUUCCUUUGCAGAGCCAACCAACAUGCCAUUUUCUCAUACUUCACACCAUUAUUCACUCAAUAAAAGAAGCCAUCACACCUUUGAUAUGUUGAGUACGAGAUGAGGUGAGCUAGUACUGGAAAAUAUAUGGUAGCCUUGGUUGGUGAGUGACUGAGUGCAUCUCUUCCUCUUGCUCCUGUGUGCAAGAAAGCUCCAAGCUCUAGUUCCUCAUCUAAUUUUCCUGUCUUGCUGCUCUGGUCUCGUGAAUUUCUGCAUCGUGAAAGGUUAUAUAUGGAUGACAUUGUUGAUGCAUUGCUUCUCAAGCUUCACUCAAAGAUAUGUUAUCAUAGGGAUGCCAGUGUCGACUACCUGGAAAUCAAGGCCACGGUUGAUAAACUCGUAGAGGCGAACAAAAGGCUCAAGGAUGAGAAAGUGGACUUCCAGGAUGUCAUUAAUAUGGUCACAGAAGACAAGGAGAAUUUGCAGCAUGACUGUCAAGUAAUCAAGGAGCGGGUGGCAAAAAAGGAGGAGCAACUUGAAACUGUAAAGAAGGAACUUGAUGAAGCAAAACAUGAACAUGUGGCAGCAAAGAAGGAGCUUGAGGAAGAAAAACUUGGCCAUGUGGCAAGGAGCUUGCAGCGGCACACCAACAACUUGCUCAAAGGAACGAAGAGCUGGAGAUUUUAAGGAAGAAGCUUCAAGAGAGUGAACAUGUACCUUCCAAAAGGGUAACAAGAUCUGCACAUAAACGGCAAAUGCUACUCAAAGGAUCGCUGAGCAAUGAUGCGGAUGGACAUCGCCCAAAGAAACAUAAGUCCUAUCAGCAUGCAAGCCAUACACUCUAAUACAGGUCGAGGUGGAACAGUGUGUGCUAGCAGUUGCAAGUGAGGAAGGAAGCCAUCGUCGUAGCAGGCCAUGACUAACACUAGCAACUAGCAAGCAUGCAAGAAAGUUGUACUAUAUUAGCUACCUAUGACGCUGGUGUUGAAUAGUGUUAUAAUCCCCAUUUCAUGUAUAUUUUAGAAUUUAUUUCAGAACCUUGGUGUGUAAAAAAUUUGGCACUUUGAUUCGCGCUUCUACUAGUAACUGAUGUAUAAAUAUUAUAUGACUUAAUUUUAUGAAACCUUCAUUUAACGGUC